UACGUAGGGAGCGAGCGUUAUCCGGAUUCAUUGGGCGUAAAGCGCGCGUAGGCGGCUGCCUAAGCGGAACCUCUAAUCCCGGGGCUCAACCUCGGGCCGGGUUCCGAACUGGGCGGCUCGAGUGCGGUAGAGGCAGGCGGAAUUCCCGGUGUAGCGGUGGAAUGCGCAGAUAUCGGGAAGAACACCGAUGGCGAAGGCAGCCUGCUGGGCCGUCACUGACGCUGAGGCGCGAAAGCUGGGAGAGCGAACAGG
Molecule: ribosomal RNA, 252 nt
Filed under: uncultured bacterium
Lineage: Bacteria
Description: partial 16S ribosomal RNA
Rfam family: Bacterial small subunit ribosomal RNA
Source: RNAcentral